GGUGGCUCAGUGGUAGAGUGCUUGCCUUGCAUGCAUGAGGUCCUGGGUUCGAAUCCUCAGCACCA
This is a non-coding RNA of Dipodomys ordii (Ord's kangaroo rat), 65 nucleotides long. Lineage: Eukaryota; Metazoa; Chordata; Mammalia; Rodentia; Heteromyidae. The record is from Rfam.